This 424-nucleotide ribosomal RNA is filed under the name Fusobacteriota bacterium. RNAcentral describes it as "Fusobacteria bacterium partial 16S ribosomal RNA". It matches the Rfam family "Bacterial small subunit ribosomal RNA", at positions 355 to 776 of the family's 1533-position model. Lineage: Bacteria; Fusobacteriati; Fusobacteriota. The record is from RNAcentral.
UGAGGAAUAUUGGUCAAUGGGCGAGAGCCUGAACCAGCCAAGUCGCGUGAAGGAAGACAGUCCUAAGGAUUGUAAACUUCUUUUAUACGGGAAUAACGGGCGAUACGAGUAUUGCAUCGAAUGUACCGUAAGAAUAAGCAUCGGCUAACUCCGUGCCAGCAGCCGCGGUAAUACGGAGGAUGCGAGCGUUAUCCGGAUUUAUUGGGUUUAAAGGGUGCGUAGGUUGUUCGGUAAGUCAGCGGUGAAACCUGAGCGCUCAACGUUCAGCCUGCCGUUGAAACUGCCGGGCUUGAGUUCAGUGGCGGCAGGCGGAAUUCGUGGUGUAGCGGUGAAAUGCAUAGAUAUCACGAGGAACUCCGAUUGCGAAGGCAGCUUGCCAUACUGCGACUGACACUGAAGCACGAAGGCGUGGGUAUCAAACAGG